AUUUAGUCAUCACUUUGUUCUAGCAGUAAACUCAUCUGCUGUCUUUGGCAUUGCCCUCAUUCUUCUCGUCUUUCUUUAUUAGUUCAGUCUCUGCAGCACGUCUGCAUGAUCCAGUCACAGCUCUGUUAUGGCGAAUGUUCAAGCCAGGAUUCUUCAUCUGGAUCUCUCUAUCAUCAUUAUUUUCCUGAUUCAUGCAGAUUAUUCAAUAUCCAAUCAAGAGCCAAUGAUUAAGCAGCACAUCAACAAAACAGUGUUUGCGGGGGAAACAGUUACACUUCACUGCAACAAAACCAAAUAUGAUGAUGAUUUCACAUGGAAAAUGAACAGCUUCGUUAUUUUUAGGCAUGACUCUGAAAGUAACAGAACAAUGAGAAACUUCAGCUCAGACAGGAUUCACAUCGACCCAGCAGCUCCAAGAGAGUUAACAAUACAACAAAUACAAGCGUCAGGAAACUACAGCUGUUACCCAGCAGCAAUAAGAUGGACAUUAACAAUAACAGUAAACACAACCAGACCAGAAUCCCUCAAACAAAUGCCGCUGUACAUCAUCAUCAUCAUCAUCAUCAUCAUAUUCAUCUGUCUGAUCAUCACCAUCAGCAUCUGCAU
This is a long non-coding RNA of Carassius auratus (goldfish), 606 nucleotides long. RefSeq lists it as uncharacterized. The transcript has 3 exons. The record is from RefSeq and is a predicted model, not a curated record. Lineage: Eukaryota; Metazoa; Chordata; Actinopteri; Cypriniformes; Cyprinidae.